RNAcentral lists this long non-coding RNA (347 nucleotides) under Chlamydomonas reinhardtii. RNAcentral's name for it is "long non-coding RNA (CREI_LNC000790)". The record is from RNAcentral. Lineage: Eukaryota; Viridiplantae; Chlorophyta; Chlorophyceae; Chlamydomonadales; Chlamydomonadaceae.
GGAGGAGGCGGCAGCUGAGGAGCCGGCUGCGGCUGAGGAGGAGGCGGCAGCUGAGGAGCCGGCUGCAGCUGAGGAGGAGCCCGCAGCUGAGGAUCCGGCUGCGGCUGAGGAGGAGGCGGCACCUGAGGAGCCGGCUGCGGCUGAGGAGGAGCCCGCAGCUGAGGAGCCCGCAGAACCCGAGGAUGCGCCCGCAGCAGAGGAGCCGGCUGCAGCUGAGGAGGAGCCGGCAGCUGAGGAUCCGGCUGCGGCUGAGGAGGAGGCGGCACCUGAGGAGCCGGCUGCGGCCGAGGAGGAGGCGGCAGCUGAGGAGCCGGCUGCGGCUGAGGAGGAGGCGGCAGCUGUGGAGC